CAGUACCGUGAGGGAAAGGCGAAAAGAACCCCGGCGAGGGGAGUGAAAAAGAACCUGAAACCGUGUACGUACAAGCAGUGGGAGCACAGGUUUACCUGUGUGACUGCGUACCUUUUGUAUAAUGGGUCAGCGACUUAUAUUCUGUAGCAAGGUUAACCGUAUAGGGGAGCCGCAGGGAAACCGAGUCUUAACCGGGCGUUAAGUUGCAGGGUAUAGACCCGAAACCCGGUGAUCUAGCCAUGGGCAGGUUGAAGGUUGGGUAACACUAACUGGAGGACCGAACCGACUAAUGUUGAAAAAUUAGCGGAUGACCUGUGGCUGGGGGUGAAAGGCCAAUCAAACCGGGAGAUAGCUGGUUCUCCCCGAAAGCUAUUUAGGUAGCGCCUCGUGAAUUCAUCUCCGGGGGUAGAGCACUGUUUCGGCUAGGGGGCCAUCCCGGCUUACCAACCCGAUGCAAACUGCGAAUACCGGAGAAUGUUAUCACGGGAGACACACGGCGGGUGCUAACGUCCGUCGUGAAGAGGGAAACAACCCAGACCGCCAGCUAAGGUCCCAAAGUCAUGGUUAAGUGGGAAACGAUGUGGGAAGGCCCAGACAGCCAGGAUGUUGGCUUAGAAGCAGCCAUCAUUUAAAGAAAGCGUAAUAGCUCACUGGUCGAGUCGGCCUGCGCGGAAGAUGUAACGGGGCUAAACCAUGCACCGAAGCUGCGGCAGCGACGCUUAUGCGUUGUUGGGUAGGGGAGCGUUCUGUAAGCCUGUGAAGGUGGCCUGUGAGGGUUGCUGGAGGUAUCAGAAGUGCGAAUGCUGACAUAAGUAACGAUAAAGCGGGUGAAAAGCCCGCUCGCCGGAAGACCAAGGGUUCCUGUCCAACGUUAAUCGGGGCAGGGUGAGUCGACCCCUAAGGCGAGGCCGAAAGGCGUAGUCGAUGGGAAACGGGUUAAUAUUCCCGUACUUGGUGUUACUGCGAAGGGGGGACGGAGAAGGCUAUGUUGGCCGGGCGACGGUUGUCCCGGUUUAAGCGUGUAGGUGUGUGUUCCAGGUAAAUCCGGUUCACUUUAACACUGAGGCGUGAUGACGAGGCACUACGGUGCUGAAGCAACAAAUGCCCUGCUUCCAGGAAAAGCCUCUAAGCAUCAGGUAACAUCAAAUCGUACCCCAAACCGACACAGGUGGUCAGGUAGAGAAUACCAAGGCGCUUGAGAGAACUCGGGUGAAGGAACUAGGCAAAAUGGUGCCGUAACUUCGGGAGAAGGCACGCUGACACGUAGGUGAAGUGAUUUACUCACGGAGCUGAAGUCAGUCGAAGAUACCAGCUGGCUGCAACUGUUUAUUAAAAACACAGCACUGUGCAAACACGAAAGUGGACGUAUACGGUGUGACGCCUGCCCGGUGCCGGAAGGUUAAUUGAUGGGGUCAGCGCAAGCGAAGCUCCUGAUCGAAGCCCCGGUAAACGGCGGCCGUAACUAUAACGGUCCUAAGGUAGCGAAAUUCCUUGUCGGGUAAGUUCCGACCUGCACGAAUGGCGUAAUGAUGGCCAGGCUGUCUCCACCCGAGACUCAGUGAAAUUGAACUCGCUGUGAAGAUGCAGUGUACCCGCGGCAAGACGGAAAGACCCCGUGAACCUUUACUAUAGCUUGACACUGAACAUUGAGCCUUGAUGUGUAGGAUAGGUGGGAGGCUUUGAAGUGUGGACGCCAGUCUGCAUGGAGCCGACCUUGAAAUACCACCCUUUAAUGUUUGAUGUUCUAACGUGGACCCGUUACCCGGGUUGCGGACAGUGUCUGGUGGGUAGUUUGACUGGGGCGGUCUCCUCCUAAAGAGUAACGGAGGAGCACGAAGGUUGGCUAAUCCUGGUCGGACAUCAGGAGGUUAGUGCAAUGGCAUAAGCCAGCUUGACUGCGAGCGUGACGGCGCGAGCAGGUGCGAAAGCAGGUCAUAGUGAUCCGGUGGUUCUGAAUGGAAGGGCCAUCGCUCAACGGAUAAAAGGUACUCCGGGGAUAACAGGCUGAUACCGCCCAAGAGUUCAUAUCGACGGCGGUGUUUGGCACCUCGAUGUCGGCUCAUCACAUCCUGGGGCUGAAGUAGGUCCCAAGGGUAUGGCUGUUCGCCAUUUAAAGUGGUACGCGAGCUGGGUUUAGAACGUCGUGAGACAGUUCGGUCCCUAUCUGCCGUGGGCGCUGGAGAACUGAGGGGGGCUGCUCCUAGUACGAGAGGACCGGAGUGGACGCAUCACUGGUGUUCGGGUUGUCAUGCCAAUGGCACUGCCCGGUAGCUAAAUGCGGAAGAGAUAAGUGCUGAAAGCAUCUAAGCACGAAACUUGCCCCGAGAUGAGUUCUCCCUGAGACUUUAGGUCUCCUGAAGGAACGUUGAAGACGACGACGUUGAUAGGCCGGGUGUGUAAGCGCAGCGAUGCGUUGAGCUAACCGGUACUAAUGAACCGUGAGGCUUAACCUUACAACGC
This 2460-nucleotide ribosomal RNA is filed under the name Salmonella enterica subsp. enterica serovar Bovismorbificans. RNAcentral's name for it is "partial 23S ribosomal RNA". It matches the Rfam family "Bacterial large subunit ribosomal RNA", at positions 496 to 2925 of the family's 2925-position model. Lineage: Bacteria; Pseudomonadati; Pseudomonadota; Gammaproteobacteria; Enterobacterales; Enterobacteriaceae. The record is from RNAcentral.